UAGUGGCGAACGGGUGAGUAACACGUGAGUAACCUGCCCCUGACUCUGGGAUAAGCGUUGGAAACGACGUCUAAUACUGGAUAUGAUCACUGGCCGCAUGGUCUGGUGGUGGAAAGAUUUCUUGGUUGGGGAUGGACUCGCGGCCUAUCAGCUUGUUGGUGAGGUAAUGGCUCACCAAGGCGACGACGGGUAGCCGGCCUGAGAGGGUGACCGGCCACACUGGGACUGAGACACGGCCCAGACUCCUACGGGAGGCAGCAGUGGGGAAUAUUGCACAAUGGGCGAAAGCCUGAUGCAGCAACGCCGCGUGAGGGAUGACGGCCUUCGGGUUGUAAACCUCUUUUAGUAGGGAAGAAGCGAAAGUGACGGUACCUGCAGAAAAAGCACCGGCUAACUACGUGCCAGCAGCCGCGGUAAUACGUAGGGUGCAAGCGUUGUCCGGAAUUAUUGGGCGUAAAGAGCUCGUAGGCGGUUUGUCGCGUCUGCUGUGAAAUCCCGAGGCUCAACCUCGGGCUUGCAGUGGGUACGGGCAGACUAGAG
RNAcentral lists this ribosomal RNA (540 nucleotides) under Curtobacterium flaccumfaciens. Its description in RNAcentral is "bacterial SSU rRNA". It matches the Rfam family "Bacterial small subunit ribosomal RNA", at positions 93 to 646 of the family's 1533-position model. Lineage: Bacteria; Bacillati; Actinomycetota; Actinomycetes; Micrococcales; Microbacteriaceae. The record is from RNAcentral.